RNAcentral lists this small RNA (51 nucleotides) under human gut metagenome. RNAcentral describes it as "Streptococcus sRNA SpF59 (ldcC RNA)". It matches the Rfam family "Streptococcus sRNA SpF59 (ldcC RNA)". The record is from RNAcentral.
ACCGCCGACAAGGUCGGCUAAGGCCAUACGGACAGCCGGGUCGAAUGCCGA